This 235-nucleotide unclassified non-coding RNA is filed under the name Hevea brasiliensis (rubber tree). Lineage: Eukaryota; Viridiplantae; Streptophyta; Magnoliopsida; Malpighiales; Euphorbiaceae. The record is from RNAcentral.
GGGAGAACUACCUGGUUUGAAGAAACCAAGCUUAAAUUUCCCAUUUGAAGAGAUAAUUGUUUGGUCUCCAGAAAGGGAUUGAUUUGCGGAAAUGGUGUCAGCAGCUUCAAUGGAGAGAUGGGUUUUGAGAGAGAGACAUAGGUACAACAAAGAAAAGAGGAGAAAAGAAUUGUUUUUGAUCUCCAUGGCUGCUCAGAGAUUGUGCAGAGGACAGAGAGAUUUAUAUCACUUUUUG